GACGAACCGUGCGAACGUUAUUCGGAAUCACUGGGCUUAAAGGGCGCGUAGGCGGGCGAUCAAGUCAGGGGUGAAAGCCCCCAGCUCAACUGGGGAAGUGCCUUUGAUACUGGUCGUCUCGAGGGGGAUAGGGGCGUGCGGAACUUCCGGUGGAGCGGUGAAAUGCGUAGAUAUCGGAAGGAACACCGGUGGCGAAAGCGGCGCGCUGGAUCCCUUCUGACGCUGAGGCGCGAAAGCCAGGGGAGCGAACGGG
This 253-nucleotide ribosomal RNA is filed under the name uncultured bacterium. RNAcentral's name for it is "partial 16S ribosomal RNA". It matches the Rfam family "Bacterial small subunit ribosomal RNA", at positions 524 to 776 of the family's 1533-position model. The record is from RNAcentral.